This 613-nucleotide unclassified non-coding RNA is filed under the name Hevea brasiliensis (rubber tree). The record is from RNAcentral. Lineage: Eukaryota; Viridiplantae; Streptophyta; Magnoliopsida; Malpighiales; Euphorbiaceae.
CUUAGACAGCAUUUCCUAGACAUGUACUUUAUACAAUCUUAAUAGAAUCGAACCACUGGUAAGUACCAUUUUCCCAUAACACUACUAUGGUACUAAGGAUUUAUGUCACGAAGGCAUAGAUACACAAAAAUCAUCACCCGGUUAAUAACCAUGACAUAUUCAGUGUUUCUUCCAAGGGUUAUGGAUGGCAACUUACUCCUUGUAGAGUUUCCACAACCGUUAUUACCAUAACCCAAUGUGUAAGUUCGGAAUAGUGAAUACGUAAGGGAAAAGUGUUAGGUAGCCCUUACGGUAGAUCUAACCUCGUUAAUUCGAGCGCCAGUCCACUACUAAUGUUUCUAGAAGUUUUGUUCAUUAUUCUUUUAUUAAACUUUAUCCUAAAAAUGUAAUUCUAAUCAUACACAUACAAGUAAUUCAUAAAAGGGUUGUUGUUUACAAACAGUUUCAUAUCUAUAGGGUUACUAAUUAUUUAAAUGAUAUUUACUGGAUGACUAAAUUUAUUUUACAAAUAAAUUCAAUUUUAAACAACCCCAAGUUUCUAUUUAAUCUAAUUAAUUAAUUUUUCACCAAAUUACCCUAAGGAUAAUUAAACUAAGUUAAUUAUGUACAUGUG